AGGCUGAUGGAGUGGUGACGGAGUGGAUUGACAACUGUAGUUUCUCCACUCAGUGCAGAAUGGCUGCAGGGAACAAAUGCAGACAUGCCCAGAGAAGUCUGCCCAGGGUGAAACAGAUAUCUUUGAGGUUUAAAUCAGAAAGGAAGGAGAGGCUGUUUCUACAGGUGUCAUAGAAAAAUCAAUGCUGAGCCACGGAUUACUGGGUCCCAUAGAACCAUGGACACAUGGCAGUGAAAUUCUUCUCAAGCAUUCUAUCCACGCAGGCAGGCGGUGUUCCUAGGUCUGGAAGGAUAAAUCCCAGGGGAAGUGAGCUGCAGAACAUUUUAUGCAUCACUCAUUCUAUUAUGAGCCCUCUGCUGCUCCAUCUCUACAAGACUGGCUGAACCCACGACAAUAACAAUUGUUUACAAUUAUCUAGUUAAUACCCUAACUCUGAUUAUUUUGAACACAAUGUCCUAUAAGAAAGACUAUUUGAAUGAUUUUACUGCAUUAGUAAUAAAACAACAAAGAAAAAUGAAACAUUCUGAAUGUACCAUCUGAUGAGCUGACAGUGAAAGAACAGAAACCGAGCAAUAAGACUGCACGGCUACGUUUUCCAGAGCCACCAGCUGGGAGUUAAGUUGACUAAGGUUGUGAAAGCCCAGCCCAUUUGGAUCACAGCAGGCAUGGCAGCGGUUGACUGAUUGUACCCGCCAGCUGGCUAAUAUCAUAAUUAACAAAGUUGCUACUACGUUGGCAAAGUUUAAUCGAAAAAUUUGCCAGUGAUAUGAUGGCAUUGUCACAAAGAUCACAAGGGACACGGAGCCCACUUCUGCUCAAGGUGGAACGGCAAAGCUGUGUAUGCAAGCGGAGAAAUCGCAAACUUGUUCAGCCAAAGGUUAUGCUUCAUAUCACCCACCAGGGAGGAUCAUCGCUCAUGAAAACUUUUAAAUUUGAUUUUGAAAAUUAUUCAGAAAAAUUUAAGCGAUGCUCUCUUCCAAUGUAAGAAAGAAUAUGCUCUAGAGAUUCUUAUAAUUCAAAGAAAAUGGAUCGGUAGAGCAUUUGGGUUCUCAUGCUGCCAAAAUCCUCUUGAGCAGGAGGCUAAUAAUGAAGGGGCCAGGGAAGGAGGCCAGUGCUACGAGGGUUAUCUCACAGCCUCAGAUGCUGGAUAAGUCGAACGAGGCAGAAUCGCGUUUGGAUGACAUUCAGAAAGGCCGGAGUGAUUAUUUGGAAGAGAAAAGCCUGCCUAUUCUUUCCCAAGGUGUGUGAAUAUCCCCCUGGCCUGCCGGUCCAGCAAUGAAUUACUAGACAAAGGAUGCGCCCGGAACCCCACCACACCUAAAGCCACGCUUUGGAGGAUCUGCCAAGCUCACUUUUAAUCAUGAGAAAGAAAUUACCCACAUGGAGUCAGCAGAAAAUGAGAAAGUAGAGCUCGUGGUGCUCCGAGUAAUUCCAGCAAGUGCCAAGGGGCUAGUUGAGGAAUGGCUUCAUGAGGAAAACUAUUGAUAGCCCACCAGACUGGGAGGCAGCAUUCAGUUCUCCUAUGCCUUCUUUCUCCUGGUGUGGUCUUUCUUCUGAAACAAAGAAGACAUUGUCAAAUCAGACUUGCCCUCUUGGAAAUGUGGUCCAGAUUGCUCUACUCCCAAGCUCCAAAAAAAGGUAUACAUAGGUUGGACUAACUAAAGACCUCCUCAGGUCUAUAAAUCUACUCUGAGAUGUUUUCCACUUAUGGGUAUACUGUAGUCUAGAAAUACCUGUUGUCAGAGGAAAGAAGAAGGGCUUUGGAGUGGAGUUGGGUUCUAAUCUCUCUGCCACUCCAACUUUAUGCCCUGGGCAAGUCAUUUAAACUCUAUGAGUCUAUCUUUAAAAUGGGGAGAAAAAUACAACUUGCAAAAUUGUUGUAAGGAUUAAGUGAAAUAAUGCAUACAGUGCCUAACAAAUUAUUUAGCAUGUUUAAAAAAAAACACAAACAAAAAAAACCUCAUAAAAUAUUGUUUUUUUUUCCCUUCCUCUCUCUCUCUCUCUCUUCCCUCUCCCAUUUCUUUCUCUCUCCUUCUUAUGUCCUCUCCUACCUUGAGAUGUUAGUCUAACAAUGAAGAAUGUCUACUUGCAAGUUCUUUCUAUAUGUGCCUUAAAUAUCUUAGUUGGGUUAAUAGUUUAAUUUUUUAAUUGAACUGUUUUC
Long non-coding RNA from Myotis brandtii (Brandt's bat), 2161 nucleotides. RefSeq lists it as uncharacterized. The transcript has 10 exons. The record is from RefSeq and is a predicted model, not a curated record. NCBI's taxonomy places the organism in Eukaryota, Metazoa, Chordata, Mammalia, Chiroptera, Vespertilionidae.